RNAcentral lists this non-coding RNA (31 nucleotides) under Homo sapiens (human). The record is from RNAcentral. Lineage: Eukaryota; Metazoa; Chordata; Mammalia; Primates; Hominidae.
UGACAGUGACAGUCAUGCAUGCUUGGAGCCA